UCGGGGUACACGCAUUGCUGUUGCGACCACGCCGAACCUACUUCGAAAGUAAAAUUUCUCAGUGGGUAAUCCAUUAGAAGUAAUGACUCGCAUAGACCAUGGCACAACUAAAUGUACGCGCAGGUUCUACCCGGCUCGCCUUUGUGUGAGUGCAGUGCGUAGCUUGUUGUUUCGUACGUGCCACUCCGUAUUAAUUCGUACGUGGGGAUAGAUCAUUGUUUAAUUGUUGGUCUCGGUCUUAACUAGGAAUGCCUUGUACGGGUCUCUGGUUCAACAUACCACCCGGAAUACGUCCCUGCCCUUUGUACACACCGCCCGUCGCUCUUACCGAUGGAUUAUGCUAUGAAUCUAUAGGACUGCCAAAGCUUUUUGGAGCUUAGUGGAAAUAUAUAUGAAUAGCGGAUCUA
RNAcentral lists this ribosomal RNA (407 nucleotides) under Ammonia sp. T2A. RNAcentral describes it as "SSU rRNA". It matches the Rfam family "Eukaryotic small subunit ribosomal RNA", at positions 1481 to 1775 of the family's 1831-position model. The record is from RNAcentral. Lineage: Eukaryota; Foraminifera; Rotaliida; Rotaliidae.